RNAcentral lists this non-coding RNA (113 nucleotides) under Olea europaea subsp. europaea. The record is from RNAcentral. Lineage: Eukaryota; Viridiplantae; Streptophyta; Magnoliopsida; Lamiales; Oleaceae.
GAGAGCACAGUAUGAUGAAAGUUGUAAGCUGUGUUUGAGGGGGAGUUAUUGUCUAUCAUCGGCCUCUACGGUAGAAUCAGUCGGGGAGCCUAAGAGGCGGUGGUUUACCCUAC